This 83-nucleotide non-coding RNA is filed under the name Rahnella sp. JUb53. Lineage: Bacteria; Pseudomonadati; Pseudomonadota; Gammaproteobacteria; Enterobacterales; Yersiniaceae. The record is from RNAcentral.
UGUUCAGGUGACUCAGGCGGGGCAGCCUUCGGGCUGGUCGGAAGGUAGACCGAUCUCCUACUCCCGCCUGAGUUACCGCCUGU